This 253-nucleotide ribosomal RNA is filed under the name uncultured bacterium. RNAcentral describes it as "partial 16S ribosomal RNA". It matches the Rfam family "Bacterial small subunit ribosomal RNA", at positions 524 to 776 of the family's 1533-position model. The record is from RNAcentral.
UACGGAAGGGGCUAGCGUUGUUCGGAUUUACUGGGCGUAAAGCGCGCGUAGGCGGCCGUGCAAGUGAGGCGUGAAAGGCCUGGGCUCAACCUGGGAACUGCGCUUCAGACUGCAUGGCUUGAGUCCGGGAGAGGGUGGUGGAAUUCCCAGUGUAGAGGUGAAAUUCGUAGAUAUUGGGAGGAACACCGGUGGCGAAGGCGGCCACCUGGCCCGGUACUGACGCUCAAGUGCGAAAGCGUGGGUAGCAAACAGG